GAUGAACGCUAGCGGCAGGCUUAAUACAUGCAAGUCGUGGGGCAGCAUGAGUAGCAAUACUUGAUGGCGACCGGCAAACGGGUGAGGAACACGUACACAACCUUCCUUCAAGCGGGGAAUAGCCCAGGGAAAUUUGGAUUAAUACCCCAUAAUAUAUUUGAUAAGGCAUCUUAUUAAUAUUAAAGCUUCGGCACUUGAUGAUGGGUGUGCGGCUGAUUAGAUAGUUGGCGGGGUAACGGCCCACCAAGUCUACGAUCAGUAGCUGAUGUGAGAGCAUGAUCAGCCACACGGGCACUGAGACACGGGCCCGACUCCUACGGGAGGCAGCAGUAAGGAAUAUUGGACAAUGGACGAAAGUCUGAUCCAGCCAUGCCGCGUGAAGGAUUAAGGUCCUCUGGA
Molecule: ribosomal RNA, 399 nt
Filed under: uncultured bacterium
Lineage: Bacteria
Description: bacterial SSU rRNA
Rfam family: Bacterial small subunit ribosomal RNA
Source: RNAcentral